CUGUCUUGUAAUUUGAAUGAUGGGAAUUUAAACCUCUUCCAGAGUAUCAAUUGGAGGGCAAGUCUGGUGCCAGCAGCCGCGGUAAUUCCAGCUCCAAUAGCGUAUAUUAAAAUUGUUGCAGUUAAAAAGCUCGUAGUUGAAUUUCUGCUGCAUUGCAUUUUCUCCUAUACGAGUUUUUGCAUUGUGGCUUAUUUCGGUUAUAAAAUUAAUUUUAUUUCCGGAUGUUUACUUUGAGAAAAUUAGAGUGCUCAAAGCAGGCUUUUGCCUUGAAUAGUUUAGCAUGGAAUAAUAAAGUAGGACUUUGGUUCUAUUUUGUUGGUUUUAGGUACCAAAGUAAUGGUUAAUAGGAACAGUUGGGGGCAUUCGUAUUUAACUGUCAGAGGUGAAAUUCUUAGAUUUGUUAAAGACGAACUACUGCGAAAGCAUUUGCCAAGGAUGUUUUCAUUAAUCAAGAACGAAAGUUAGGGGAUCGAAGACGAUCAGAUACCGUCGUAGUCCUAACCAUA
This 506-nucleotide ribosomal RNA is filed under the name Theileria sp. RNAcentral's name for it is "SSU rRNA". It matches the Rfam family "Eukaryotic small subunit ribosomal RNA", at positions 498 to 1034 of the family's 1831-position model. The record is from RNAcentral. Lineage: Eukaryota; Apicomplexa; Aconoidasida; Piroplasmida; Theileriidae.